Molecule: ribosomal RNA, 456 nt
Filed under: uncultured organism
Description: partial 16S ribosomal RNA
Rfam family: Bacterial small subunit ribosomal RNA
Source: RNAcentral
ACGUACACUCCUGCGGGAGGCAGCAGUGGGGAAUCUUGCGCAAUGGGCGAAAGCCUGACGCAGCCAUGCCGCGUGAAUGAUGAAGGUCUUAGGAUUGUAAAAUUCUUUCACCGGGGACGAUAAUGACGGUACCCGGAGAAGAAGCCCCGGCUAACUUCGUGCCAGCAGCCGCGGUAAUACGAAGGGGGCUAGCGUUGCUCGGAAUUACUGGGCGUAAAGGGAGCGUAGGCGGACAUUUAAGUCAGGGGUGAAAUCCCGGGGCUCAACCUCGGAAUUGCCUUUGAUACUGGGUGUCUUGAGUAUGAGAGAGGUGUGUGGAACUCCGAGUGUAGAGGUGAAAUUCGUAGAUAUUCGGAAGAACACCAGUGGCGAAGGCGACACACUGGCUCAUUACUGACGCUGAGGCUCGAAAGCGUGGGGAGCAAACAGGAUUAGAAACCCCAGUAGUCCCAUGAU